UUAGGGACAAAAUUGGGGUCUUACAGACCUCAUUUGUCCUUUUAUUCUUUUUUCCUUUUAUUUACCAUGUUAUUUUAUUUUCUUCUUUUUUUAUUAUUUAGUUCUUUUCCAUUUUAGUUUAUUUCAUUUAUUUAUUUUUCAACCAAAUAUGUUGUAAAUACACUUCAUCAAAAUAUUUUAUUUUUAUUAAUCCAUUGUUUUUUUAAUUUUUAUCAUUGGGCAUAUUUACCAUUGUGUUUGAUUAUUAAUUGAUGAUAUUCUAAUGAUCAUGGAAAUUGGUCUUAUGGUUUUAUUAAUCUUAAAC
RNAcentral lists this long non-coding RNA (304 nucleotides) under Lathyrus oleraceus (garden pea). RNAcentral's name for it is "Pisum sativum (pea) long non-coding RNA (PSAT_LNC025338)". The record is from RNAcentral. Lineage: Eukaryota; Viridiplantae; Streptophyta; Magnoliopsida; Fabales; Fabaceae.